This 427-nucleotide ribosomal RNA is filed under the name uncultured bacterium. Its description in RNAcentral is "partial 16S ribosomal RNA". It matches the Rfam family "Bacterial small subunit ribosomal RNA", at positions 354 to 796 of the family's 1533-position model. The record is from RNAcentral.
GUGGGGAAUAUUGCGCAAUGGGGGAAACCCUGACGCAGCAAUACCGCGUGAGUGAAGAAGGUUUUCGGAUCGUAAAACUCUUUUAUUGGGGAAGAAGAAGUGACGGUACCCAAUGAAGAAGUCCCGGCUAACUACGUGCCAGCAGCCGCGGUAAUACGUAGGGGACAAGCGUUGUCCGGAAUCACUGGGCGUAAAGGGCGCGUAGGCGGUUUUAUAAGUCAGAUGUGAAAGGUACCGGCUCAACCGGUGACGUGCAUUUGAAACUGUAAGACUUGAGUACUGGAGAGGCAAGUGGAAUUCCUAGUGUAGCGGUGAAAUGCGUAGAUAUUAGGAGGAACACCGGUGGCGAAGGCGGCUUGCUGGACAGAUACUGACGCUGAGGUGCGAAAGCCAGGGUAGCGAACGGGAUUAGAAACCCGUGUAGUCC